AGACAUUGGUCCUAACCUUUCAGGAUACAAGAGGUUAUAGUCCAAAAUAUAGUAAUAUAAAUAUAUAUUUCCAAAGUCCUCCGGUAAUAAUACUGAUGAAGCAGUAAUUUUAGAUAUUUUAACAAGAUCAGUGAUACUGCAUUGCAAUGCCAAGACCAAUAUUCAUGUGGAGAUGCUAUGUUUUUUCUUCUGAAUCUUGGAAACCAGAGAUAUUUGUCUCAGAAGUCCAGUAAGAGCACCAAGAGGACAAAUGAACAUUUUUCUGACAGUAACCCUGAAGAAUCCCACACUCUUGGCAGAGAGAACAGUUCUGGCUUUUGCAGUGGUCAGCCUUCAGGUGGAUCACCAGUGAGAUGCAUCUUUGAGAGCUGGAAUUGAGCAGAUUCUAUCUAUAUUUCUCUCAAAAAUUGCAACCUCUAGCAGAAGACGUAAAAGAUCUUUAAUCAGUGGUGGUCUGGGCCAGAUGUGAAGAUAUUACCAAAGCCUUAUCUCAUGGACAUCAGAAGAUGAAAGCAGAGGAAUUCCUCCAACAUCAGGUAACCUUCCCUGUGUGGGAGGAUGCGAGUGACCAAGGUCGCUCUGCACACACAUGGCAACAGGAAGAAAACUCAGCAAGUACAACCCUCCUGGCCCAGCCAAGCACAGAGAAUAUGAGCCAUGAAUUAAGAUGCCAGUCAAUGCUGCCUCCCUUUAAUGUCACACAGGACAGGAGACAUCAGCCACAGAAAAGAAUCUUCAUUAGAAGAAGGACAACUAUUUUCUCUGUGUAAAUUUUUAUAGACUGCCUGCAUAGAAGUCUGAAAACAGGUGACAAGAUAUCUCAUGAUAUAUGUUAAGAGCUGUCAGCUGAGAUUUGGGCCCCUGUUCUUGCAUUCAUUAUUGUCCAUGGAUUCCUUUCCUGCUUCACAACGUCUUGCCUUGAUGUAAGACUGCAGAGAAAAGCCAGACAGAGACUGAAACUGCAGUCAGAAUUCUGCAGCAUUCAGAUCACAUUUACAGCUGUUUCAAAUCACAGCAGCCCAUCUACCCAGUGACACAGACCACAGACAACAUGUGAGUCUGUCUUUUUUCUCUUCACUGGUGCCCCAUUGACAACUCAGUUGAACGCAAGGCUUCGUGCUUCCUUUCAAAGCCCCAAGCAGGACUGGCUUCAAUUACCAAGUGCACUUCAUACUGUGUGACUCCCACAUCACUUACAUCCUGUUGGAAGGAAGGACUUGUCAUCUUCAAGUAAAUAUUGUGAGUGCAGGAAAAAAAGCUUCCCAAAGGACAGCCUGUGACCCUGGAACUCACUCCUCAAAAGGCACAAAUGAACAGGAACAGCUCUACCAUGGCAAAAGGCAACAAGAUCAUUCACUUUGUCCCAUCACUGUGGCAGGGAAUCAAGGAAAGAAGCAGCUUCUCAAAUAAAUGGAUAAGAAAUGCACAGAAGCAUGGAGAGCCAUAUGUUUUCAUAAUAUGUAAACAGAGUGAGCGGUUAAUAUAGCUUGUCCCUUGUUGGCAGGAGACAGUCACACACAAAAAAAUAAAAGGUAGAGUUUUGUUGGGUCUGGGACUUGUUCAGUAUUUCAUAAUAACACACAUAUUACGUGUUACCAGUUCAGUGGUGGUCAAGGAGCUUGUGCCUUCCUUCAGGUUUUGCUUGCCUGGCUCCCUUACUUUGGAUGAUGGUUUUUCUUGUUCCCUUAAUUCUCAGUAGUAACAUAGAGUAUAUAAGAUCAGAUGCUAUAAAAUAUUGAUUUUAGUUUUAGUGUGUCAACUAGGUGAUUUCCUUUUCAAACUGUACUUCAUAAAGUUGUCAUUUAAAAAAAAUAUUUGUUUUCAUCUUUUUCAUUAUACUUGGUCAUACGAGUAUAUACUGAUGAAUUACCUUAAUAGAUCAUGAAUGUUAUUUAUGCUUUUGAAACUAGGUAAAAGUCCAAAUUCUUUUAUUCUACAAAGAAAACAGACUAAUAUUCAUGGUGCUAUAAGCCGUUGUUCUAAUACUCCUCAUUAUAUCUCUUAUUCUA
This is a long non-coding RNA of Corvus hawaiiensis (hawaiian crow), 2009 nucleotides long. RefSeq lists it as uncharacterized. The record is from RefSeq and is a predicted model, not a curated record. The transcript is spliced from 5 exons. NCBI's taxonomy places the organism in Eukaryota, Metazoa, Chordata, Aves, Passeriformes, Corvidae.